GACGAACGCUGGCGGCGUGCUUAACACAUGCAAGUCGAACGGAAAGGCCCUGCUUUUGUGGGGUGCUCGAGUGGCGAACGGGUGAGUAACACGUGAGUAACCUGCCCUUGACUUUGGGAUAACUUCAGGAAACUGGGGCUAAUACCGGAUAGGAGCUCCUGCUGCAUGGUGGGGGUUGGAAAGUUUCGGCGGUUGGGGAUGGACUCGCGGCUUAUCAGCUUGUUGGUGGGGUAGUGGCUUACCAAGGCUGACGGGUAGCCGGCCUGAGAGGGUGACCGGCCACAUUGGGACUGAGAUACGGCCCAGACUCCUACGGGAGGCAGCAGUGGGGAAUAUUGCACAAUGGGCGGAAGCCUGAUGCAGCAACGCCGCGUGCGGGAUGACGGCCUUCGGGUUGUAAACCGCUUUCGCCUGUGACGAAGCGUGAGUGACGGUAAUGGGUAAAGAAGCACCGGCUAACUACGUG
Molecule: ribosomal RNA, 466 nt
Filed under: uncultured bacterium
Lineage: Bacteria
Description: partial 16S ribosomal RNA
Rfam family: Bacterial small subunit ribosomal RNA
Source: RNAcentral